This 642-nucleotide long non-coding RNA is filed under the name Carica papaya (papaya). RNAcentral's name for it is "long non-coding RNA (CPAP_LNC003032)". Lineage: Eukaryota; Viridiplantae; Streptophyta; Magnoliopsida; Brassicales; Caricaceae. The record is from RNAcentral.
GAUCCAUAGGGGUGUCCUCGUUACACGUGAACCCUUUAUUUUAACCACCUUAAUUCUAAGGCCGUCCUCAUACCUCAUCCAGUAUGAGCGCUAAGAUAUUAAACCUCAAUACCCCGUCCAGUAUGAGGGUGAAGCAGGUCGUCCCCAUACCCCAUCCAGUAUGAGCGCCAAAUGACCAAGUCUCAAUACCUUGUCCGGUAUAAGACAACGUUCACGGUAGGGUUCCCUAUGAACCCGGUCUGUCCUCUAUCUCGUAGGAUAUUUAGUGAGGCUAUCAUCUUAUCCAUUUAUCAGAUCAUAUCCCGUUCCUAUUUGUCCUUAGUCUCCGUCACUAAAUCAAACAUAAAUACAUAAACAAGUAACAUGCAUCCAACAAUGCAAUCAUAUCUUAAAUUCCCAAAAUCAAACGGCAGUGAAGUAAGCAGUGAUACAUACGUUUAAAACCAUAGAAUAGAUAAAGCAGAUACCAUAAUGCAUCUAAACUAAAAAAUAAAUCAAACAGAAAUCGACAAAGAAUAAUGUCUGGUUCGGGCUUCAUUAGCAAUCCAUAAUUAAUUAUGCAUAUCUAUUUAAUUUGUACAAAAUACAGUAUUAUCAUUUAUUCAAACUUCAAUUAUAUGAUAGGAAAUAGGGUGAGGGAUC